RNAcentral lists this ribosomal RNA (532 nucleotides) under uncultured bacterium. RNAcentral describes it as "bacterial SSU rRNA". It matches the Rfam family "Bacterial small subunit ribosomal RNA", at positions 355 to 902 of the family's 1533-position model. The record is from RNAcentral.
UGGGGAAUCUUGGACAAUGGGGGCAACCCUGAUCCAGCCAUGCCGCGUGAGUGAUGAAGGCCUUAGGGUCGUAAAGCUCUUUCGCCUGUGAAGAUAAUGACGGUAGCAGGUAAAGAAACCCCGGCUAACUCCGUGCCAGCAGCCGCGGUAAUACGGAGGGGGUUAGCGUUGUUCGGAAUUACUGGGCGUAAAGCGCACGUAGGCGGACCAGAAAGUUGGGGGUGAAAUCCCGGGGGCUCAACCCCGGAACUGCCUCCAAAACUAUUGGUCUAGAGUUCGAGAGAGGUGAGUGGAAUUCCAAGUGUAGAGGUGAAAUUCGUAGAUAUUUGGAGGAACACCAGUGGCGAAGGCGGCUCACUGGCUCGAUACUGACGCUGAGGUGCGAAAGUGUGGGGAGCAAACAGGAUUAGAUACCCUGGGUAGUCCACACCGUAAAACGAUGAAUGCCAGUCGUCGGGUAGCAUGCUAUUCGGUGACACACCUAACGGAUUAAGCAUUCCGCCUGGGGAGUACGGUCGCAAGAUUAAAACUC